RNAcentral lists this ribosomal RNA (448 nucleotides) under Staphylococcus gallinarum. Its description in RNAcentral is "bacterial SSU rRNA". It matches the Rfam family "Bacterial small subunit ribosomal RNA", at positions 35 to 473 of the family's 1533-position model. Lineage: Bacteria; Bacillati; Bacillota; Bacilli; Caryophanales; Staphylococcaceae. The record is from RNAcentral.
GCUGGCGGCGUGCCUAAUACAUGCAAGUCGAGCGAACAGAUAAGGAGCUUGCUCCUUUGACGUUAGCGGCGGACGGGUGAGUAACACGUGGGUAACCUACCUAUAAGACUGGAAUAACUCCGGGAAACCGGGGCUAAUGCCGGAUAACAUAUAGAACCGCAUGGUUCUAUAGUGAAAGAUGGUUUUGCUAUCACUUAUAGAUGGACCCGCGCCGUAUUAGCUAGUUGGUAAGGUAAUGGCUUACCAAGGCGACGAUACGUAGCCGACCUGAGAGGGUGAUCGGCCACACUGGAACUGAGACACGGUCCAGACUCCUACGGGAGGCAGCAGUAGGGAAUCUUCCGCAAUGGGCGAAAGCCUGACGGAGCAACGCCGCGUGAGUGAUGAAGGGUUUCGGCUCGUAAAACUCUGUUAUUAGGGAAGAACAUAUGUGUAAGUAACUGUGCAC